GAUGAAGAACGUAGCGAAAUGCGAUAAGUAGUGUGAAUUGCAGAAUUCCGUGAAUCAUCGAAUCUUUGAACGCACAUUGCGCCCCAUGGUAUUCCGUGGGGCAUGCCUGUUCGAGCGUCAUUUACCCCCUCAAGCUCCGCUUGGUGUUGGGCGUCUGUCCCGCUUCGCGCGCGGACUCGCCCCAAAGGUAUUGGCAGCGGUCGUGCCAGCUUCUCGCGCAGCACAUUGCGCUUCUCGAGGCACCGGUGGGCCCGCGUCCAUCAAGCUCACCCCCCCAGUUUGACCUCGGAUCAGGUAGGGAUACCCGCUGAACUUAAGCAUAUCAAUAAGCGGAGGA
This 337-nucleotide unclassified non-coding RNA is filed under the name soil metagenome. RNAcentral describes it as "partial contains 5.8S ribosomal RNA, internal transcribed spacer 2, and large subunit ribosomal RNA". The stretch from base 1 to 120 matches the Rfam family "5.8S ribosomal RNA", at positions 35 to 154 of the family's 154-position model. The record is from RNAcentral.